GAUGAACGCUGGCGGCGUGCCUAAUACAUGCAAGUCGAACGAAACUUCUUUAUCACCGAGUGCUUGCACUCACCGAUAAAGAGUUGAGUGGCGAACGGGUGAGUAACACGUGGGCAACCUGCCCAAAAGAGGGGGAUAACACUUGGAAACAGGUGCUAAUACCGCAUAACCAUAGUUACCGCAUGGUAACUAUGUAAAAGGUGGCUAUACUACCGCUUUUGGAUGGGCCCGCGGCGCAUUAGCUAGUUGGUAGGGUAAAGGCUUACCAAGGCAAUGAUGCGUAGCCGAAUUGAGAGGUUGAUCGGCCACAUUGGGACUGAGACACGGCCCAGACUCCUACGGGAGGCAGCAGUAGGGAAUCUUCCACAAUGGGCGAAAGCCUGAUGGAGCAACGCCGCGUGAGUGAAGAAGGUCUUCGGAUCGUAAAACCCUGUUGUUAUAGAAGAAAGUGCGUGAGAGUAACUGUUCACGUUUCGACGGUACCUAACCAGAAAGCCACGGCUAACUACGUG
This 512-nucleotide ribosomal RNA is filed under the name uncultured bacterium. Its description in RNAcentral is "partial 16S ribosomal RNA". It matches the Rfam family "Bacterial small subunit ribosomal RNA", at positions 28 to 507 of the family's 1533-position model. The record is from RNAcentral.